UAAUCUCAACCCCGCCGGUUUUGUAAUCGCGUUGGGUGUUGGACUUGGGGGCUGCUGGCUUAUCUCAAAGCCGGCUCCUCUUGAAUGCAUUAGCUUGGACCUGUUCGCUUGCUAGCGGUGUAAUACGUAUAUAUUCACUGUGCGCAAGUGUAACUACAAAGGGUCUGCUUCUAAUCGUCCUUCACGGGACACUUAACUCUUGA
Molecule: unclassified non-coding RNA, 203 nt
Filed under: uncultured Trichaptum
Lineage: Eukaryota; Fungi; Basidiomycota; Agaricomycetes; Polyporales; Polyporaceae
Description: sequence contains ITS2
Source: RNAcentral